CGUAGGGUGCGAGCGUUAAUCGGAAUUACUGGGCGUAAAGCGUGCGCAGGCGGUUAUAUAAGACAGAUGUGAAAUCCCCGGGCUCAACCUGGGAACUGCAUUUGUGACUGUAUAGCUAGAGUACGGCAGAGGGGAUGGAAUUCCGCGUGUAGCAGUGAAAUGCGUAGAUAUACGGAGGAACACCGAUGGCGAAGGCAAUCCCCUGGGCCUGUACUGACGCUCAUGCACGAAAGCGUGGGAGCAAACAGGAUUAGAUACCCUGGUAGUCCACGCCCUAAACGAUGUCAACUGGUUGUUGGGUCUUCACUGACUCAGUAACGAAGCUAACGCGUGAAGUUGACCGCCUGGGGAGUACGGCCGCAAGGUUG
This 368-nucleotide ribosomal RNA is filed under the name uncultured organism. Its description in RNAcentral is "bacterial SSU rRNA". It matches the Rfam family "Bacterial small subunit ribosomal RNA", at positions 526 to 896 of the family's 1533-position model. The record is from RNAcentral.